This 253-nucleotide ribosomal RNA is filed under the name uncultured bacterium. RNAcentral describes it as "partial 16S ribosomal RNA". It matches the Rfam family "Bacterial small subunit ribosomal RNA", at positions 524 to 776 of the family's 1533-position model. The record is from RNAcentral.
UACGGGGGGUGCAAGCGUUGUUCGGAAUUAUUGGGCGUAAAGAGCGUGUAGGCGGUUUGUUAAGUCUGAUGUGAAAGCCCUGGGCUCAACCCAGGAAGUGCAUUGGAAACUGGCAGACUUGAAUACGGGAGAGGGCAGUGGAAUUCCUAGUGUAGGAGUGAAAUCCGUAGAUAUUAGGAGGAACACCGGUGGCGAAGGCGGCUGCCUGGACCAAUUCUGACGCUGAGGAGCGAAAGCCAGGGGAGCAAACGGG